UUUACCCAGACUGGAGAUUACGAGAUACUGGAUUGUUGUCCCGAGAUCUAUUUGCUGAACCCACAAUUCCACACUGUCAUACUUUGUUCCAGCAAUAAAGAAACCUGAUCCAAGUGGUUGUCCGUGGUGAUG
Molecule: long non-coding RNA, 132 nt
Organism: Alosa alosa (allis shad)
Lineage: Eukaryota; Metazoa; Chordata; Actinopteri; Clupeiformes; Clupeidae
Exons: 3
Source: RefSeq, a predicted model, not a curated record